Molecule: ribosomal RNA, 443 nt
Filed under: uncultured bacterium
Lineage: Bacteria
Description: SSU rRNA
Rfam family: Bacterial small subunit ribosomal RNA
Source: RNAcentral
AGAGCGAACGCUGGCGGCAGGCCUAAUACAUGCAAGUCGAGCGCACCUUCGGGUGAGCGGCGGACGGGUGAGUAACGCGUGGGAAUAUGCCCUUUGGUACGGAACAACUGAGGGAAACUUCAGCUAAUACCGUAUGUGCCCUUCGGGGGAAAGAUUUAUCGCCAUUGGAGUAGCCCGCGUUGGAUUAGGUAGUUGGUGAGGUAAAGGCUCACCAAGCCUACGAUCCAUAGCUGGUCUGAGAGGAUGAUCAGCCACAUUGGGACUGAGACACGGCCCAAACUCCUACGGGAGGCAGCAGUAGGGAAUCUUGCGCAAUGGGCGAAAGCCUGACGCAGCCAUGCCGCGUGAAUGAUGAAGGUCUUAGGAUUGUAAAAUUCUUUCACCGGGGAAGAUAAUGACGGUACCCGGAGAAGAGCCCCGGCUAACUUCGUGCCAGCAGCCGC